Molecule: non-coding RNA, 480 nt
Organism: Peromyscus eremicus (cactus mouse)
Lineage: Eukaryota; Metazoa; Chordata; Mammalia; Rodentia; Cricetidae
Source: the annotation of a RefSeq genome assembly
AUGAAGUUUCCUGUUGUGCUGUUGGUGCUGCUGGUGUUCAGGAUUCCUGCUUCCAGAUGUGAUAUUGUGAUGACCCAAAGUCCACUGUCCCUGCAUGUCAGCCUUGGUGAUCAAGUUUCUAUCUCUUGCAAGUCUAGCCAGAGUGUCCUCUAUAGUAAUGGAAACACUUAUUUGAAAUGGUACCUGCAGAAGCCAGGCCAGUCUCCACAGCUCCUCAUCUAUGAGAUUUCCAACCGAUUUUCUGGGGUCCCAGACAGGUUCAGUGGCAGUGGGUCAGACACAGAUUUCACACUCAAGAUCAGCAGAGUUGAGCCUGAAGAUCUGGGAGUUUAUUUUUGUCUCCAAGCUUCUUAUUUUCCUCCCACAGUGAUUCAGACCUUAACAAAAACUUCCUUUCUUGGGGUAACCCAGCUGCCAAAUAAGUUAUUUUUCUGUGUGAGAGAGAGAAUGGUGCUGAGAAACCUUAUUAUUUGCAGCUGA